GGGAGGCCCCCUUUUUAUAGAUACAUGGAGUAAAUCAUGGCCAUCCGAUUAAAAAUAGUUUGGACGCUCAGGAUUGCGCCACGUCAUAAGUCAACAGUCCACGGUUUGACCACGUGGAUGAACAGUAACACGGUUUGACCCGGAUGAACAGUAACGCGGUUUGGUUGAAAAUAAUCCUGUGUGAUGCAUGCACCGUACACGAGAUUUUUCGUCCACUGAUAUGCUGCCACGUCACCAUCAACAGUACAUAAGAAUUUUAGCCCAACAGGAUCGUGACACCUCAUCAGUCAAUGCCACAUCAUCGGUCAAUGCCAC
Molecule: long non-coding RNA, 315 nt
Filed under: Citrus sinensis (sweet orange)
Lineage: Eukaryota; Viridiplantae; Streptophyta; Magnoliopsida; Sapindales; Rutaceae
Description: long non-coding RNA (CSIN_LNC001995)
Source: RNAcentral